AUACGGAGGGUGCAAGCGUUACUCGGAAUCACUGGGCGUAAAGCGCGCGCAGGCGGGCUGAUAAGUUGGAUGUGAAAGCCUACGGCUCAACCGUAGAACUGCAUCCAAAACUGUCAGUCUAGAGUCUGGGAGGGGAAGAUGGAAUUAGUUGUGUAGGGGUAAAAUCCGUAGAGAUAACUAGGAAUACCAAAAGCGAAGGCGAUCUUCUGGAACAGUACUGACGCUGAGGCGCGAAAGCGUGGGGAGCAAACGGGAUUAGAAACCCCAGUAGUCC
Molecule: ribosomal RNA, 274 nt
Filed under: uncultured bacterium
Lineage: Bacteria
Description: partial 16S ribosomal RNA
Rfam family: Bacterial small subunit ribosomal RNA
Source: RNAcentral